Beta vulgaris subsp. vulgaris (sugar beet) is the source of this 1652-nucleotide RNA transcript. It is a transcript of the gene named zinc finger protein VAR3, chloroplastic, with no coding region annotated. The transcript is spliced from 7 exons. NCBI's taxonomy places the organism in Eukaryota, Viridiplantae, Streptophyta, Magnoliopsida, Caryophyllales, Amaranthaceae. The record is from RefSeq and is a predicted model, not a curated record.
UAUCACUUCUCCAUUUCCGAGUUGCGAGUGUCUGAGUGAGUGACUACUACUACUAACUUACUAAGUAGUAAGCACUAGUACUACCAGUAGCAGACCAAGUGCAAAAGCAUGAAAGAAAUGAUUAUCCGCGGGCCAAACCCUCUUUCAUCUCUCUCUUUUAUUCGCUUCAGGAACAAACCCACCCCCCAAUUUCCUCACACCAUCUUAUCCUCUCGAUUCUGUACUUCCUCUGCCAAUUCUAUUUCUACUGCACCAACUUCCUCCCAAACCCUAACCCAAGCAUCAAAUCAUCAUCAUCCAUGGCCCGAAUGGAUGGCCUUCGUCACGCGCUUGAACUCCCUCGGUUAUUUUCCCAAAUCUUCUUCCGACGCCGCUGUUGCCUCUGAAUUUAAUUAUGGAGAAAUCGACGUCUUCAAGGACCCUUGCCUCAGCUUUGCCCGCGACCGCUACGAUCUUUUCAGGUCUUUGUCAAAAGGUGAUAUUAGAAGUAUGGUGGAGGGUGGAUGUCCUAAACUUCAACGCAAAGUUGUCAAUUCAGCAAAACGGCUGAGAGUAUAUGUGGGAUUAGAAGAGAAAAGUGUAUGUAACACAUGCAGUCUUCAAGGAUCUUGUGAUCGAGCUUAUGUGAUGCUUGGGACAUCUGAAGGGGAGGCUCGAAUGGUCGAUGUCAUGCGCCUCUUGUUAUCUUAUGCACUAGACCCACAACUUAUAUCUAGAGCAGCGAGUGCUCCAAGUAUUGAGCAGGCUGAAUCAGCUUCAAGAAGAUUGUUGAGGUUGUUGAUUGACUCGAGUGAAGCUUCUACAGGUCCUCCUCGUGAGACUAUUCAAAAGCUAGCCUAUAAGAAGGAACAAUCAGUUAACUCUGUGAGUGCUUCAAAAGGGGAUUGGUCAUGUCCUAAGUGCAGUUUCAUGAAUUUUUGGAGAAACCUUCAAUGCCAGAAGUGCAAUGAGGAGGGUCCUAGAUAUCGUAAGCGGGCUAGUUUCACUGUUGAGAUGAAGAAAGGUGAUUGGAAGUGCCUCAAGUGUGAAUGUGUAAACUUUGCUAGCAGACGGGAUUGUUUUCAGUGCAAGGAUCCACGACCCCCGAGGGUACUGGAACCUGGGGAAUGGGAGUGCUUUAAGUGUGAUUUUCUGAACUUUAGAAGAAACAUUACUUGCCACAAAUGCGGUAGCAAACGUCGAAAUGAGAUAGCAUCGCAGGGCAAGAUACAGAAUAACCGGACUAAUCUGGUGGCUGAUCAAAUAUGAUAUAGCAACUUGCCUCCAUCUACCAUUGUGUCAGCGACCAUGUCUUCGUAGUCUUGGAAGUUUUGAGAUGAGCAACAUUUUGCAUCACCCCAAGAUGUACGGUAAUUGUUUGGAGGUCCUCUCCUUCUUGGCACAAGGGUUCAAUUCUCACCCUUUGAAAUGUGGGGUCCUCAAUUUACCCGACUUUUACAUUGGGUUUGAUUUGUCAUAAGAUUAUACUAAUAAGUAAUAAUCACUAUAAGUUCAUGUUGAUAAAACUCAUGAAACCCAUAUUUAGUUAUAAUGCUUCUUACUUUAGUAACCUACAGUUUAUUGUUAAUGAUUUGUGUUCUUUUCACAUAAUUUUCUAUAGCAUCUCCAAAUGAUUGGCGAUUUUUAUACAGUGUAAAAUUGAUUUAUUAUUC